ACAAUGAUGAUGUCACUGAUUCUACUGCUGGCCACCCUGGGGCUCCUUGUUCAGGAUUCAUCAGGAGAAAUCAUCCUGACUCAGUCUCCUGGAGCUCAGUCUGUUGUUCCAGGACAGACUGUCUCUCUCAGAUGUAAAGCCAGUACAAGUGUUAGUUAUGACUUGCAGUGGUACCUUCAGAAACCUGGAGAAGCUCCUAAACUCCUGAUUUAUGAUGCUCAAACCCGUCAGUCUGGAGUUUCAGAUCGUUUCAGUGGGAGUCAGUCUGGAACUGACUUCACUUUGACCAUCAGAGGAAUCCAGACUGAUGAUGCAGGAGUUUAUUACUGUCAGCAGGAUUACAGCCGUCCGUUCAUACAGUGAUACAACGUCGGACAAAAACCUCCUUCAGCUGGAGAGGAACUGAUCUGAAUCAACAGCUGCAGAGUUAUAGAAACACUUUAGUAAUUUACUGACAAUAAGUCCAAUACAUUAAAACUGAUCUGACAUGAAUUGUCAUGUUUCCUUUAUAGAUUACAUUUAUGAUAAAUCAAAUGGAACUUGAAAUUCACAAGUUUUAUAUUGAAGUCACACAGUUUAGUUUUCAACAAACUUAAACACACAUGUUGUAUUUUGAGAUCAAACUAUUGAUUCUGAUACUAUUGUGAUAUAAUAUGCUGAUAAUAACUUACCUCAUAAUUGAAAUGCCACAAAUUCAUCAUAGACUUUUUAGUUUAACCAGAUUCAUGAAACUUUCAGGACAUUUCUAAACCCAUUUCAGCAUGAGAGUUUUUACCGAUAGUACAAUUCAUUUAUAAACCACAUAUUGUAAACCUGAUUUACCUUGAAAUAGUUUAAAAAUUAUCUUUGUUGUCACCAAAAAUCUAAUUUGCAGUUUGUGUAAUGAAGCAGUUUCUACGGUCUAGCUUUAAGGAAUCUUGAACAAAUAAUGUCUUUGUUGCAUUAAUGUUACAUUAAUGAUUAUCUGAUUAAUUGCUCUCAAAAUAUUACGUAUUUUACG
Molecule: non-coding RNA, 1000 nt
Organism: Micropterus salmoides (largemouth bass)
Lineage: Eukaryota; Metazoa; Chordata; Actinopteri; Centrarchiformes; Centrarchidae
Source: the annotation of a RefSeq genome assembly